CUCGUUCGGAGCGAGCGGCGGGGAGCGCGGGUGGACGCGGGUCGGCACCAUGGAGCGGGCGCUGAAGGGGCUGGGGCUGGUGCUGGUGCUCGUGGCGCUGGUCGGCUCGCAGGAGACCAAACAGGCGCCCACGGUGCAGGUGUACUCCCGCUACCCCGUCAAGCUGGGCACCGAGAACGUCCUCAACUGCUACGUGGAGGGCUUUCACCCUCCCAAGAUCGACAUCACCCUCCUCAAAAAUGGCGAGCCCAUGCCGGGCGUGAAAUACUCCGACAUGUCCUUCAGCGACAACUGGACUUUCCAGCGCCUCGUGUACGCGCCCUUCACGCCCACCAAAUACGACGAUUACACUUGCAGGGUGAAUCACGUCGCCCUCCCGGAGCCGCAGACUUUCAAAUGGGGUAUUGUGGACUUUCUUCUUGCCUUGUGAAAGAAUUAGUAAUGGACAGAAAAGACUUACUUCAGAUCCAGAGUACUAAGCUGUACGUAGGACAACUGUGGUUCUUGAAGAUUGAAAUGAGCUUAAGCUUCUGUCCUUUCUGUGUGUCCUGCUUGCAGUUGUAACAGAGAAGAGGAAUCAUCUUGAUCGCUUAUCAGAUUGCUUCUCCAUAGACUGCUGUCUGCAAUGGUUAAUUCUUAGCAUGAACUCAUUGGAUGAUAUUCCAUAGUAAAGACAAGGAAUUAAAAUGCUGAGGAAUUAAGAGGAGAGGAAAGGCAGGCAGCGGACUCUGUGCCCUUGAGGCAUAUGGCAGAUGAUCUGCAGGCAUAGUAAUGCUAUGGAAUCUGCUCAGAAUUGGCACUUCAAAAUGAAUUGAUUGGUGAGGAAAUUCAAUUUUGUAAAUAAUUUGAUUGUUCUAAGAUAUGUGAUUUCAUAUUGUUCAUACAUUUAAAAGCUCUGCUCAGUUGUAACAUCUGCUUGCCCUGAUAGUUCUGGCUGCAGCCACAGCUCUCUGGAUUGGUAAGAGCACUUGCAAGAACAACUUCAAAGCUUUUCAUUAAAGCAUUACCCUUUAUUGCUGGCAGUGUACUAGCUAGGCAUUCUUUGGGCAUAUAACUGUAUCUACAUUACGGAUUAAAAGAUUGAGUAACUUUUUUUUUUAAUAGUCUGAACUGUACUGAAUAUUUUAUCCAAAUAUAAUUGGAAAAUUUAAGUGAAUUUUGUCUUCCUGAGUAGGAGGCAGAUAUUUUACUCAGGCCUUUCCUGAUGAGCUUCCGGAGUGCUGCACGCCUGCUUCUGCCUCUGCUGGUGUCAAAUAAAGGAAUUCUAAUACCC
RNA transcript from Rhea pennata, 1273 nucleotides. It is a transcript of the gene named beta-2-microglobulin, with no coding region annotated. NCBI's taxonomy places the organism in Eukaryota, Metazoa, Chordata, Aves, Rheiformes, Rheidae. The transcript has 4 exons. The record is from RefSeq and is a predicted model, not a curated record.